This is a long non-coding RNA of Lolium perenne, 763 nucleotides long. RefSeq lists it as uncharacterized. The record is from RefSeq and is a predicted model, not a curated record. Lineage: Eukaryota; Viridiplantae; Streptophyta; Magnoliopsida; Poales; Poaceae.
UCCUCAUGGUACGAACCAGGCAGCCACCACAUGAUCCCCUCCACUUCACCGAUGUCUGCCACCUCGCCCUUCUCUUCACCUUAAGACGCCGCCCAGGAGGCCGUCCCCGAACCCUAGCUCCUUUUCCUCCCUCUCGCUGCGCCUCCAUUUGUUUCGUUCACUACCUUUCCUGUAAGCAACUGAGAGGUCAAGCUCUGCCGCGGCCGCGCCUUCUUCCCGGAGUCCGGCGACCGUGGUCUCGUCUUCGUCCGUCCCCGAGCCGCCUCGUUUCAUCCGGCAGCCUCCCGGCCUGAUCAUUCAUGGCUACAAGAGAUGGCACGGACUAUUUGGAUGUGCAUCAUUUUGUGGUCACUCACAUUUCUUCGUGUCUUCAUAAUCGUUCAGACAUGGGAGUCCUCAAGGUUCCAAGCCUGCUACGUUUGCUAUUUCUCAUGCUCCUCCUCUUGGCUCCUGGCUCUCAUGCUAAGACUUGCAAGGAGGCCAGCAAGACCUAUACCACUGUUUCUUGCCGUGAUGAUCCAUGUGCUGAGGCCUGCCACAAGGAGGGAUUUACUGACGGGAGGUGUUACCUAAUCGACAACUAUCCUAUUGAGAAGCUAUGUUACUGCGAUAAAGAGUGCUGAAUAAAAACAUGUUGAAACUACCGCAUAUCAUGCGAUGCAAAAGUAAUAAGAUGGUUUAUUGAAAACUAGUAAGCGUGCACGUGUGUUGCCCGUCCCAUACUCUAUACUAAAAACAUCUAUUUUGAAUCUUAUUUUUUUGA